RNAcentral lists this ribosomal RNA (301 nucleotides) under uncultured bacterium. RNAcentral describes it as "partial 16S ribosomal RNA". It matches the Rfam family "Bacterial small subunit ribosomal RNA", at positions 509 to 807 of the family's 1533-position model. The record is from RNAcentral.
CAGUAGCCACGGGAAUACGUAGGUGGCAAGCGUUGUCCGGAAUUAUUGGGCGUAAAGGGCUCGCAGGCAGUUUCUUAAGUCUGAUGUGAAAGCCCCCGGCUCAACCGGGGAGGGUCAUUGGAAACUGGGAAACUUGAGUGCAGAAGAGGAGAGUGGAAUUCCACGUGUAGCGGUGAAAUGCGUAGAGAUGUGGAGGAACACCAGUGGCGAAGGCGACUCUCUGGUCUGUAACUGACGCUGAGGAGCGAAAGCGUGGGGAGCGAACAGGAUUAGAUACCCCGGUAGUCCCUGUCUCUUAUAC